AUUAAAAAUAUUGAGGGCAUUAAAGAGCGUCUUGUUGAAUGUGAAGUGAAAGCAUAUUAUGGUCUCUUUCUUAUGUUGGUAGUUUAAACAAAUGCCAUUUAUUUAGGAGGAAAACAUUUCAGACAGCACCAGCUGUUAUCAUUAGCAGAAAUAAAUAGGCCUCUUAUAUGACAUACUUAAAAACACAAAUGCAACAGAAGGUCAUAUCCCAACCCCCCUCAAGUACACUUCACAGAUGCCAUUUUAAUGCAUGCAUGUUUAUGGAGACAUACACAAUACGGUUUACAGCCUAUUAGGCAUCUCAGAGAGUCAAUUUAAGCAUACGGCAUGGACAAGUCUAAUACAGAGCGACAUUCUCAGUCUUAGUGGAGUGCUUUUGAUUGAAUACAAAGCAGCCUAUUCACAGACUAAGAGUACAAAGACGCAUAUGCACACCCACAAGAACCUUACUCAGUCAUUUAGUGGAUGACAACGCCAUUAACAUCCAGUCAACCCUCUCUCUUACACACAGACUCAAUGUAGGCAUUGUAGAGCAAUGCAGCACUGUGAAUGUGCAGUUGUCUAUGAUUCAGUCACAAGGUUAAACUCUUAGUUCGACUGCAGCAGGGAGAAUGUAUCGCUAUUAAAGCUCUUGGCAAUACCGACGGCUAGAGAAUCUGAAGACCAUUAGUUGAAUAUCGGCCAAGAAAGAGACUGUACUGUGUCUCUGAAGAGCAGAGCAUAAAAUAGAAGCCACUUCAGCUGCUCUCCCUGUGGAUAUACUCUCACAUGAUCGCUCGUUGCUCGAUCCUGUGUGUGUACGUAUGUUUGGGCUGGAAAAUUCUUAAAUAAAAGGACAUGCAAACAAAUAAUUAAAUGUUACAGUAAUAUACAGUUUUAUUUGAAUAAAAUUACACUUUAUUUGAUUAGUGAACUAGAAAUAGUGCAGCAUUUUUCUUCAUCACGGUGUUAAAUACGGGACCUUUUUCACGUUUGAGGGUUUCUCAGCAGCAAAGUGUCGGUAUAGUCGGAUUAACUUGAACAAUGAAUGGGAGAGUGCUUUCCGAUUUGCUCAGUUAGCAAAAGAAACACUCUACAAUAGUGUUUUCAUGACUUUCAGUAAAAGGAAAAAAAAAUUAAGAAACUGAUAACGGUAGUCAGAAGAGUGAACAAUAUCAAAUUUACCAAAUUUGAGAUUUUGUAGUCCGAGACCUGAAAACAUAUUAUAUUGCUUAGUCUUAAAGAAACCUAAUGUAAAAAAUUAUUAUCUAUAUUCAUUAUGUUGUGACUGCAACACAACCAUCUUGAAAAUACUGUAAUAUUGCUCAGCCUUGUGUGUGUGUGUGUGUGUGUGUGUGCGUAUGUGCAGCUGGACACUCAAGAGGUCAUUAAAGCACAUUUCCCCAGACCUCCUACUCUUUCCUGCCCUCUUUCCACGGAUCCAUCUUCUCUCUCUCUCUAUGUCUCCUGUCUAAUGACUCUCUCUCUCUACAUCUGCCAUCACUCAGCGUGUGCUUUAUUCAGAGAAAAUACCAACAACAUGCUCUCAGCACUCGCUUCCUUACAGAUCAAGCAGUGAACUGCAUUAACACCACAUCAUCAGCCACGCUUACAUGCAUACAUGCACAACGCUUGAGUGCUGGGACAUAACAACAUCCACAGAGACGCAGGAAUGAGUGUGCACUGAUGAAGGCUGAGAAUGACUGGUCUUGGAUAUGGGCUGGUUUGGAUGACCUCUGACCAUUGACUGUUCUGUAUUCGGUGUGGAUGUGUUAAAAAUGAAGCCAAGAGCGAGGACUGCCCUCAUUCAGCAGGGACUAAAAGAAAUGAGGAUUGACACAAAGAGCCUGGAUCAGUGAUGCUGAGACCGCCGUAAGCCAGUAACACCAGACUGUAAGGACAUUACAAUCAAGGACAUUUACCAUCAAGAGUCAACCAGAUAUGAGGUGGAGGAUUGAUAAUAUAUUACAACACAGGCAUACAAAAGUGUCUAAAAUCCAUUACCUAAAACGAACUCAGUGUCUUCGAACAGACAAAAAUAGAUGUGUCCUUAAAACCUAGCCUGAAACAACCUAGUCUCACAACUCAGACUUUUGACUAUAGGCUUUAGGUCUGGUCCACAUAAAGCUUACAUAAAUCCUUACCCAGAAUGCUGAGACAUGUCUAAAAAACAACAGACUUGAAGUCACUCAUUUUCUAUAGGGAGUAGAACAGGAGCUGCGAACAUAGCUGUUCUAGCAUUUUCAUAGAGGCUUUAUAAAAAAAGAAGAAAAGACAAAAUAUCCAAAAAUUCUUACAUUUUUUAGAAAAGUCAAAUAUUGUUUUUUUUUUUUUUUUUUUUUUUUUUUUUAGAAAAUGUUAUUCUAAGAAACAAGUGAAUUGUUGCUUUGAACAAGCAAAAGAGUCUGCCAAUGGGGUAAGCAAAAAAACAGAAAUGAUUUUACUUAUCCAAUUGGACAUUUUUUCUGAAAAUAAGACUUUUUUUCAUUGUCUAACAAACAACUUGAUUUAUACAUUUUCUAGAUAUUUUGGCUGGAAACAAGACAAAUAAUCUACGUUAUAAAAGCUUUUUUUUCAGUGCAUUUUCUUUUAUUGUUUUUACCUUAUUGUUAUUAUUUUAACCUAUUGUUUUCGGAUGUUAACGGCCAGCUCUGUGCAACUGCCUCUAAUAGAUGCAAAACACUGUCAUUUAAGGAGAUGGUACCAUCUGAAACUGAUGGUACCAUAGACUUUUAUCUAAAAAAACUUCACCUAAGCCAAAACGGAAAUACCCCAAGUCUUUUCCAUCUUUCAGCAUGUUAUUAACUCCAUAUAUGUGGCCAAAGCGAUCCAAUGGCCAUUACAUUCCAGUCCAUCAGAUGGUUUGGCUCAUCCGCGCUCUUUCCACCAGAAGCACACCACACUGAGUUCACUAAUACUGGAUUUGUGUCUCCAACACAGAAAAUCCAAGAAAGAUGAGAAGGAGAAAUGAGGACAGCUAAUCUGUCCUAACUCUGGUGACUACAUCCAUAUACUGCAAAAAGACAAGUUAAACCCCUCAGAUAAUUCUGACACCAAAAAGAGAUGCUUUGCUAACUGUGCUUUUUUUUUUUUUUUUUUUUUAUCUCUGCCUGGACUAAAUAGACAGCAGCGCCCAUUACAGGAUAAGAUACAUGGGCUUAAAUGCCUAACGACUGUCUGUCAAGCACAUUUUGUUCAGCUCGAUGGACAGUCCACAUUGAAAUGAGGUUGCCCGUGAGCCUGUAUGAAAGUUGUGUUAGGGGGCAGGGGCGGAAGAGAGAAAGAGAAUAUAUUAGAUGUGGGAGAGUCCCGUAGUAAUGAAAGAUCAUCACAGCAACAUGGGCUGUUUAAGGACAAACACAGACGCAGGGAGAAAGAAGAGCUCAUGACUUCAACAGCAGCACAAAGAGCCAAAGACGACGUGAAAGAGACGAGGAUGAAGAAGGAAGCGAAAAAGGCACAAUGAAUGCAAUGAUGUUGAAAGUGUAAAGGAUAAGUAGGAACUGUCAGAUCAGUAGAGGAAAUGGGAAAAGGCACAGAAAAAAGGAGAAAGAAGAGAACAAAAAGAAAGAUAUCAACAGGGAAGCAGAGUGUACUCCAAACAGGAUUGCAAUAGUGGAUUGGAUUGCAGGGGCAAGUUGAGGUCGCAGCUAAAGAAAAAGACACGCACAGAGAGAAAUGAAUGUUGUUCACUCAGGGGAAGAGACUCUCAGCUCUACUAAGUCAUAAGGAGGCUGUAAAGACUGUACUGAACUUUGCUGAAUCACCACAUAACUACAAUGUUCAAGGACGCAGAUGUGCUUCACGGGGUAAGUGUUUCCGAAGAUGGCAAAAGAGAGGCAUAAAAGAAAGGAACAAGCAAUAAGAGAGAGACAAAGAAGCCGACAGGUGUGUCCAACAGGAUAGAGAUUUGACAUGCAUCCCACACAUCUGCACUGGCUCUCUUCACUCUCUUGGCAAUGGCUCUAGGGAAUUAGCGAUGCCUCAGGUAACCUGGAAACCGCAAAACACACCCUACAUGCUCAGCACUGGCUGUAUGCCACUGACAAUGAGUUAUACACAGUGGGUUGGUGAAUACGCUUCUUUUAUUGGGAGUGUUUUGAUAAAUGACUAACACAGUGAAAUUCAUCUCACAUGUCUUCAGCAAGUUGUUUAUAAACUAAAUAAAUCAAUCUGUUGGCUGUAAAUGAAUUAACUACACAAUAUGCUGAUUCAUUAAAAAAUCAAAAAAGCCUACAAAAU
Molecule: long non-coding RNA, 4221 nt
Organism: Puntigrus tetrazona (Sumatra barb)
Lineage: Eukaryota; Metazoa; Chordata; Actinopteri; Cypriniformes; Cyprinidae
Exons: 2
Source: RefSeq, a predicted model, not a curated record